GGUGGCUCAGUGAUAAGAGUGCUUGCCUAGCACGCAAGAGGCCCUAGGUUCGAUUCCUCAGCACCA
RNAcentral lists this transfer RNA (66 nucleotides) under Dipodomys ordii (Ord's kangaroo rat). It matches the Rfam family "tRNA". Rfam says of the family: Transfer RNA (tRNA) molecules are approximately 80 nucleotides in length. The record is from Rfam by way of RNAcentral. Lineage: Eukaryota; Metazoa; Chordata; Mammalia; Rodentia; Heteromyidae.